RNAcentral lists this ribosomal RNA (459 nucleotides) under uncultured bacterium. RNAcentral's name for it is "partial 16S ribosomal RNA". It matches the Rfam family "Bacterial small subunit ribosomal RNA", at positions 338 to 795 of the family's 1533-position model. The record is from RNAcentral.
CCUACGGGUGGCAGCAGUGAGGAAUAUUGGUCAAUGGCCGGAAGGCUGAACCAGCCAAGCCGCGUGAGGGAGGAAGGCGCAGAGCGUCGCAGACCUCUUUUGCCGGGGGACAAAAGGCCGGACUCGUCCGGUCCUGAGGGUACCCGGAGAAAAAGCAUCGGCUAACUCCGUGCCAGCAGCCGCGGUAAUACGGAGGAGGCGAGCGUUGUCCGGAUUCGUUGGGUUUAAGGGGUGCACAGGGGGGCCUUUAAGCCUGAGGUGAAAUCGCGGGGCACAACCCCGCCGGGCCGUCGGAACUGGGGGCCUUGAGUGGGGGGGGGGCAUGCGGAAUGCGCGGUGUAGCGGGGAAAUGCAUAGAUAUCGCGCAGAACCCCGAGUGCGAAGGCAGGGUGCCGUGCCGCCACUGACGCUGAGGCACGAAAGCGCGGGGAUCGAACAGGAUUAGAUACCCGAGUAGUC